This 971-nucleotide long non-coding RNA is filed under the name Salmo salar (Atlantic salmon). Its description in RNAcentral is "lncRNA (ENSSSAG00000081740.1)". Lineage: Eukaryota; Metazoa; Chordata; Actinopteri; Salmoniformes; Salmonidae. The record is from RNAcentral.
CUAACCACACCACCACUACCUUAUUCAGAGGUAACUAACCACACCACCACCUUCUAAUAGGUAACUAAUCACACCACCACUACCUUCUUCAUAGGUAACUAACCACACCACCUUGUUCAUAGGUAACUAACCACACCACCACCUAUUGUUCAUAGGUUACUAACCACACCACCACUACCUUAUUCAGAGGUAACUAACCACACCACCACCUUCUAAUAGGUAACUAAUCACACCACCACUACCUUCUUCAUAGGUAACUAACCACACCACCACUACCUUAUUCAUCGGUAACUAACCACACCACCACCUUGUUAAUAGGUAACUAACCACACCACCACUACCUUGUUCAUAGGUAACUAACCACACCACCACUACCUUGUUCAUAGGUAACUAACCACACAACCUUGUUCAUAGGUAACUAACCACACCACCACCACCUUGUUCAUAGGUAACUAACCACACCACCACCACCUUGUUCAUAGGUAACUAACCACACCACCACCACCUUGUUCAUAGGUAACUAACCACACCACCACUACCUUGUUCAUAGGUAACUAACCAUACCACCUUGUUCAUAGGUAACUAACCACACCACCACGCUCAUAGGUAACUAACCACACCACCUUGUUCAUAGGUAACUAACCACACCACCACUACCUUGUUCAUAGGUAACUAACCACACCACCACAUUGUUAAUAGGUAACUAACCAUCCCACCACAACCUUAUUCAAGGUAACUAACCACACCACCACUACCUUGUUCAUAGGUAACUAACCACACCACCACUGCCUUGUUCGUAGGUAACUAACCACACCACCACUGCCUUGUUCGUAGGUAACUAACCACACCACCACUACCUUGUUCAUAGGUUACUAACCACACCACCACUACCUUAUUCAGAGGUAACUAACCACACCACCACCUUGUUAAUAGGUAACUAAUCACACCACCACCACCUUCUUCAUAGGUAA